AGUGGCAGCCACGUUUAUGCUAAUGAGGCACGGGAUAUUUAAAUCCCCACUUGAUUAGCAAUUAUGACGUGCUUGAUUUGCAUCCCUCUGUCAACAGAAGGAUGCAGUCUAGACGUAGCUUAUAGUAUUAGAUUUCUGAGAAGCUUCAAAUAAAGUGCUAAUUUAGGCUUCAACCCUGCAAUAAAAUCUCCAUGCAUGGACCUUUUUAUCCAUGUGUUUCCCAUGGCAGGGUCUGCUCAUAACUGAUCACAGUAAUUCUCUUUUGAUCACAAACUUGAUGCGAAUGUUUGAUUUCCCACACAAAAACUGAUCUAGAUCCUGUUGGUGCCAACACCUAUAUCCUAAAAGCAAUUAGCAGGAGAUAGGCGAUCUAACUCUCCUUUCCAAUACUGUUUCCCUUGGUGGGCUUUUUAUUUUCUCCUGGCCUGAUCCAGGAGCCAUUGAACCUCAUGGAACAAUUUCUGUUGAAUUCACUGGGCUUUGGAUCAGGCCUAGAAAGUAGUUCAGAUCGGUGGUAUCGUGUACAGCUGGUAUCAGAACAAUCAGAAUGCAGGUAAGGCUUGCCCUUUAAUUGCUAAUAAGCAUAUCAGCAGGGAGGAUCUAUAUAAAAUUAAAAGAUGUUUCACAAAGAUUCAUCAUCAGGUUUCUGCUCACAUAUAGGGUGUGGUGGGAUUAGAACUGCGCCCAGAAAAGCAUUCUUUCCUACUUUAGAUGCUAAAUGAUAUAUAUUCCAUGGGAUAACCUUAUAUAGUCUUACAUUCUCAGGCAAGACCGGCAAAUAACAAAGAGUACUGAAGUUAAUUAAUUAUUAUAUAUAGUGAUGGGAGGACAUAACCACAAAAAACCUUCCCGAUUUUGGCACACAUACCCAAGGUUGACGAGAUUUGGCUUUGCACUUUCUUGGAUCAUGAAAUUAAGAGGGAGAUUCUGAGCAUUCCCAAGGUAUUUGGUUUGGGAUUUAUCUCCAAUAUACAGCAUUUGCUGUAUCAUUAUUUGCCAGAUGUCCUGGCUUCAUCUGGAUAAUCAUGGCUGAUUCUUUUGGGAGAAUGGAAGGAGGAAGCAAUUUAAAUGUUUGCUUUGUAGCUUCCAUAGGCUAUGCUGCAGUUAUUCCUUGCCAUGGCUGUACCUCGAGUCUCUCAUUGAGUUUUCUCUACAGUGUCCCAUUCCUUACUAGAGACAUGGGUGGUUGGUAAAGGCUGGGCUGGACUGGGGGAGGCAAGCUCCCAGCCCUACCUCUUCUGUUAGGCCCUGCCCCCUGGGCAUGCUCCCCCCUUCCAACCAUGGUGAGGGAGGGGAACAGGUGCAUGCUUGCCACAGCCUCCCUAGUCCUGGUGGACGGUGCACAGUGCCAUGCCGCUGGGCUGAGCCAGGCCAUGCGGCACACUAGGAAGGGAGGAGGUAGGUAGUGCUGUGUUGCAUGGUCCAGCUGAGCCCAGCCUAGCCUCUUGAGCACAGGGCGAGGAAGGGCGUGCGGCACCUCGAAUCCACGACCCUGUCCUCCCCAGGCGAGAGCCAUAUCCCCUAGGCCACGCGGGAACCUGUCCCACCACCUUACUGCAGGGAGGCAGGCCUAGAAGCAGCAACACUCCACCCCAGAAUACCUACAGCAGGCACUCUGGGGACCGAGUGUGGACAGGGCCAUGCCUGGCAGUUUGAGAAGGCAGAACCUUCCCUUGCCUCACAUACCUGACACCCCUGGCUAGAGAGCAGAUUGCCCCUAGGCUAGCUGCACGUUCCUUUUUUCCACACACCCCUACUGAUUAUUGUACCAUCGUUUCUUCUAUGGUUGCCACCAGAGCAUUUCCUCAUGAUUUUUGUUAGCUAUCCUACCGGUGACUGUCGUCAGACUUGUACAUGAAUCAUUUUAGCACUUGUAGUUAGAAUAUGAUUUCUGUCAUUUUAAAUCUGUUUUUAUAUGCAGUCGCCAUAAUCCUGAAUGAGAGCAAUCCUGGGCUUCCUCUCCAGCUCUUUAUUUUUAUGCGUUUGGCUACUAUAGAUUGUGAAAUUCAGUAAAACAGAUUAAUCAAACAUGCAAAACCAUCUUCCCUCUGGUUUUAAAGAUUCUAGUCUUGGCUCAUUUUGUGGGCUCUGGCAGCAGACUGUGGACCCCAUCAGCAGCAGGGAGUUCACAGCAGCAGAUGCCACCCACUGUCUUUACUGUAGCAGGAGCCCGAAGACAGCUGCUAAUCGCAGAAAGCGAGUGGAGCCAAGAGGAGAUGUGACACUCAUGAGAAGCACUGGGCAGUUUAUCUGAGCAGCCUCAAUCAGCAGAGUUCCUGCGAAGAACCCAGGCAGAGUUUAAAUCUCCACCCCUCCGUAGCAGAACUCUUGACAGAGGACUGUGGUGACGCUGCUACAGAUGUCCCCUCAAUGCAGGAGCGUACUGUUUGUAUACCUGGACUGAAUCAUGUCCUAGAACUGCAUUAUCCUUCUUCUGGGGCUGGAUCACCUUUUCUGAUUUUCAGUACUCAAUAAUUAAUAAAGAUUUUACUUUGCUUCAAUA
Molecule: non-coding RNA, 2503 nt
Organism: Pelodiscus sinensis (Chinese soft-shelled turtle)
Lineage: Eukaryota; Metazoa; Chordata; Testudines; Trionychidae
Source: RefSeq, a predicted model, not a curated record